This 233-nucleotide non-coding RNA is filed under the name Candidatus Kaiseribacteriota. RNAcentral describes it as "Candidatus Kaiserbacteria GlcN6P sequence". It matches the Rfam family "glmS glucosamine-6-phosphate activated ribozyme aptamer". From Rfam's summary of the family: This entry contains a glucosamine-6-phosphate activated ribozyme that is found in the mRNA for GlmS. GlmS is an enzyme that uses fructose-6-phosphate and glutamine to generate glucosamine-6-phosphate. The record is from RNAcentral.
GAAAAUAACACAGCGUGUGGUCCCCGUGAGAUGAUGUACCUAUCUCACCGGGAAUACGAGGAAAGGGCCACGUGAGGAUGGAGUACCCAUCUCAUCGUGGAAUCGAACGUUUGUGGAUGUCAGACAUCCACAAAACAGUAUCUGCGGGAACCCUUCGGUAGUGCUCCCUACCGUAACAUCAUCCGGAAAACCAUAUCGGUAACGGUAUGUCCAAAUGGAAGAUGAUCGAGCCA